ACAGGUGGUGCAUGGUUGUCGUCAGCUCGUGUCGUGAGAUGUUGGGUUAAGUCCCGCAACGAGCGCAACCCCUGUGGUUAGUUGCCAUCAUUUAGUUGGGCACUCUAAGCAGACUGCCGUGGAUAACACGGAGGAAGGUGGGGAUGACGUCAAAUCAUCAUGCCCCUUAUGACCUGGGCUACACACGUGCUACAAUGGUCUGAACAGAGGGCUGCGAAACCGCAAGGUGAAGCCAAUCCCUUAAAACAGAUCUCAGUUCGGAUUGCAGGCUGAAACUCGCCUGCAUGAAGUUGGAGUUGCUAGUAAUCGCGGAUCAGAAUGCCGCGGUGAAUGCGUUCCCGGGUCUUGUACACACCGCCCGUCACACCACGAGAGUUGGCAACACCCGAAGUCAGCGAGACAACCGUAAGGAGUCAGCUGCCGAAGGUGGGGUCGGUAAUUGGGGUGAAGUCGUAACAAGGUAGCCGUAUCGGAAGGUGC
Molecule: ribosomal RNA, 480 nt
Filed under: Acetobacterium bakii
Lineage: Bacteria; Bacillati; Bacillota; Clostridia; Eubacteriales; Eubacteriaceae
Description: bacterial SSU rRNA
Rfam family: Bacterial small subunit ribosomal RNA
Source: RNAcentral